CCUACGGGAGGCAGCAGUGGGGAAUAUUGCACAAUGGGCGAAAGCCUGACGCAGCAACGCCGCGUGAGCGAUGAAGGCCUUCGGGUCGUAAAGCUCUGUCCUCAAGGAAGAAAAAGACGGUACUUGAGGAGGAAGCCCCGGCUAACAACGAGCCAGCAGCCGCGGUAAUACGUAGGGGGCUAGCGUGAUCCGGAAUUACUGGGCGGAAAGGGUGCGUAGGUGUUUUCGUAAGUAAGAGGUGAAAGGCUACGGCUAAACCGUAGUAAGCCUUUGAAACUGGGGAACUGGAGUGCAGGAGAGGAGAGUGGAAUUCCUAGUGUAGCGGUGAAAUGCGUAGAUAUUAGGAGGAACACCAGUGGCGAAGGCGGCUCUCUGGACUGUAACUGACACUGAGGCACGAAAGCGUGGGGAGCAAACAGGAUUAGAUACCCGGGUAGUC
Molecule: ribosomal RNA, 439 nt
Filed under: uncultured bacterium
Lineage: Bacteria
Description: partial 16S ribosomal RNA
Rfam family: Bacterial small subunit ribosomal RNA
Source: RNAcentral